CACUAUAGAGAAAGAAUUGAUCAGUUUUUGCUUGGACACCAAAGGAAAAGAAAACCGCCUGUGCUAUUAUCUAGGAGCCACAAAAGACGCAGCCACAAAGAUCCUAAGUGAAGUCACUCGCCCAAUGAGUGUGCAUAUGCCUGCAAUGAAGAUUUGUGAGAAGCUGAAGAAGUUGGAUAGCCAGAUCUAAAAAACACUGGACUUGGCAUCAGUUGACCUGCGGAAGAUGAGAGUGGCAGAGCUGAAGCAGAUCCUGCAUAGCUGGGGGGAGGAGUGCAGGGCCUGUGCAGAAAAAACUGACUAUGUGAAUCUCAUUCAAGAGCUGGCCCCCAAGUAUGCAGCAACACACCCCAAAACAGAGCUCUGAUCUCCAAUGCCAGCACAUUUGUGACUUGUAAUUAGAGAGAAAAGUGACUCUCUAGGAUAUGGACAUGUUGAUUAAGGAUAACUGGGAAUGCAUCA
This 462-nucleotide small RNA is filed under the name Pan troglodytes (chimpanzee). RNAcentral's name for it is "processed transcript". Lineage: Eukaryota; Metazoa; Chordata; Mammalia; Primates; Hominidae. The record is from RNAcentral.